GAUGAACGCUAGCUACAGGCUUAACACAUGCAAGUCGAGGGGCAGCAUGGAGUUUGCUUGCAAACUCUGAUGGCGACCGGCGCACGGGUGAGUAACGCGUAUCCAACCUUCCCCGUAGUAGGGCAUAGCCCGGUGAAAAUCGGAUUAAUACCCUAUGUUUUCCGAAGCGGGCAUCUAAUUCGGAGCAAAGGUUUACCGCUAUGGGAUGGGGAUGCGUCUGAUUAGGUUGCAGGCGGGGUAACGGCCCACCUGGCCGACGAUCAGUAGGGGUUCUGAGAGGAAGGUCCCCCACACUGGUACUGAGACAUGGACCAGACUCC
RNAcentral lists this ribosomal RNA (320 nucleotides) under uncultured Prevotella sp. Its description in RNAcentral is "bacterial SSU rRNA". It matches the Rfam family "Bacterial small subunit ribosomal RNA", at positions 28 to 339 of the family's 1533-position model. The record is from RNAcentral. Lineage: Bacteria; Pseudomonadati; Bacteroidota; Bacteroidia; Bacteroidales; Prevotellaceae.